This 496-nucleotide ribosomal RNA is filed under the name uncultured bacterium. RNAcentral describes it as "partial 16S ribosomal RNA". It matches the Rfam family "Bacterial small subunit ribosomal RNA", at positions 28 to 506 of the family's 1533-position model. The record is from RNAcentral.
GAUGAACGCUGGCGGCGUGCCUAAUACAUGCAAGUCGAGCGAACGGACGAGAAGCUUGCUUCUCUGAUGUUAGCGGCGGACGGGUGAGUAACACGUGGAUAACCUACCUAUAAGACUGGGAUAACUUCGGGAAACCGGAGCUAAUACCGGAUGAUAUUUUGAACCGCAUGGUUCAAAAGUGAAAGACGGUCUUGCUGUCACUUAUAGAUGGAUCCGCGCUGCAUUAGCUAGUUGGUAAGGUAACGGCUUACCAAGGCAACGAUGCAUAGCCGACCUGAGAGGGUGAUCGGCAACACGGAAACGGGGACCCGGCCCAGACCCCUAGGGGAGGCAGCGGUAGGGAAUUUUCCGAAAGGGGCGAAAGCCUGACGGAGCAACGCCGGGGGGGUGAUGAAGGUCUUGGGUUCGAAAAACUUUUUUAUUGGGGAAGAAAAUUUGUUUAAGUACCGGUGCAAAUCUUGGGGGUACCUAAUCAGAAAGCCCCGGCAAACUGCGG